UCCUUCCUUCCACCCCCCGGGGUGCGGCAUUGGAACACAGUCGGUGGUACUUCACGACCAACUGGUUCUCAAAAGUAAUGACGGCGUCCGUGGGACCCUCGAUACAACGAGUUCUUUCGGGAGCAUGUAUCGAGUUGCAAGGUCCUUCCGGGUCGGUCCAACCCCAAAUAUUUUUUCA
RNAcentral lists this unclassified non-coding RNA (178 nucleotides) under uncultured Chaetothyriales. RNAcentral describes it as "sequence contains ITS2". Lineage: Eukaryota; Fungi; Ascomycota; Eurotiomycetes; Chaetothyriales. The record is from RNAcentral.